Fukomys damarensis (Damara mole-rat) is the source of this 261-nucleotide long non-coding RNA. RefSeq lists it as uncharacterized. The transcript is spliced from 3 exons. The record is from RefSeq and is a predicted model, not a curated record. Lineage: Eukaryota; Metazoa; Chordata; Mammalia; Rodentia; Bathyergidae.
GAAUAAAGUCUCCAUGAACAUCUUUUCAAGAUGCUGACUUCAUUUUCUUCGGAUAAAUACCCAGAAGGGGCUCAGCGUCAGAGAGCUGAAACACAACAUUGUACAAAGGAGCAGAGGCAAUGCUGGGAUUCAAAGUUAGAUCUCCCGUGACUUCAAUUUACAGAUGGAAAGAUCAUCAAAGAUGGUUUCUUCAAACACCACAAUGACAGGAACCAAGAGCCUUGGAAUCCAUGUGAGCUUUAUCAAGGCAUGUGCAAAAAC